RNAcentral lists this transfer RNA (72 nucleotides) under Fusobacterium animalis. It matches the Rfam family "tRNA". Rfam says of the family: Transfer RNA (tRNA) molecules are approximately 80 nucleotides in length. Their secondary structure includes four short double-helical elements and three loops (D, anti-codon, and T loops). The record is from RNAcentral. Lineage: Bacteria; Fusobacteriati; Fusobacteriota; Fusobacteriia; Fusobacteriales; Fusobacteriaceae.
GGGGCAUUAGUUCAGUGAGUAGAGCAUAGGUUUAAAUCCUGAUAGUCAUUGGUGCAAAUCCAAUAUGCUCCC